RNAcentral lists this long non-coding RNA (1067 nucleotides) under Zonotrichia albicollis (white-throated sparrow). Its description in RNAcentral is "lncRNA (ENSZALG00000010542.1)". The record is from RNAcentral. Lineage: Eukaryota; Metazoa; Chordata; Aves; Passeriformes; Passerellidae.
GCUGUGCUGCAGGAGCCCGUGCCAUGAGGACCUGCUGUGUGCCUGAGGCAGAGUCUCAGGGCACCCAGGCCAACUCAGUGGCAGAGAAGAAGGUGCCAUCACCAGCAGGACCAGCUCCUGGCACACUUCUCCAGGACAGCAGCACAGAGCAGAGUGUGGCAGCAGCAACAGGGAGCUGCGGAGGACCGAGUGGUGCUGCCUCUGCCUGUGGUGCCACAGGGAUGGGGGUCCCCAACACCCAGAAGGAGGAUGCAGCAGCCUCCACUUCCCCUGUUUCUGAUCCCUGCCUCCAGGCAACCAGCAAGGACACGGGGAGCACGGCAGCUCUUGCCAAACAUGUGGCAUUCGUGGAGCCCACUGCGAGCACCGGGACAGCUGAGCUUCCAAGCCAGGAGCAGCCCCAGGACAGCAAAGGGACAUCCCUGGCUGCUGCUCCCCAGACAAAGAGCAGUGAGGCUCCCAAGCACCCCCAGGGAUGCACAGCAGACCCCCCCAGCACCAGCACCGCGGGCACUGGGGGUCGAAGUGAGGCAGGACCAAGCUCCACUGCUCUGGGCCAGGGCAAAGCUGAGGGGAGCUCAGUCCAGGAUGGGGGUGCUGGGAGCAGCCAGCAGCCCCACACAGCCAAGCAGCUCUGUGAAUCCUACUCCUUUGAAGUGACCCCGCCCCAGGACACUGGGACACAAGACAUGGGGACGCAAGUGGACAACCGUGUGUCCUUGGUGUCGGUGGCCUUAAGCCCCAUGAGCCCCCCGUGUGGGGCUGCUGCCUUCACCUUCCCCAAGAGAGAGGCAGCCUCUGCAGCCCCGCGCCUGGAGCCCUCCAAGAAGGACGCGGAGAUGCAGGUGUCCAUGCCUGUGGAGACCCGCUCGGUGGCCACGGGGCCGAUGACACCGGUGGCCAAGUCCCCGCAGACCUCGUACCCCGAGGUGCAGGUGAAGGGGACGGUGCCGGAGGUGGUGGAGGAGGAGCCUCCGGAGCCCAUCCGGGAGCACGAGGAAGCGCGUGGCUCCUUCCAGAUGGAGGCAGCUGCUCCUGUGCGUCUCCUGCCCGUGGCACAGGUCUGA